Ictalurus punctatus (channel catfish) is the source of this 6536-nucleotide RNA transcript. RefSeq lists it as uncharacterized. The record is from RefSeq and is a predicted model, not a curated record. NCBI's taxonomy places the organism in Eukaryota, Metazoa, Chordata, Actinopteri, Siluriformes, Ictaluridae. The transcript is spliced from 7 exons.
UGUGUGUGUGAGAUUUGUGAAUAAAAAGGCUGCUUGAGUCACUUCUCAAGCCGUUAAACUUCUCUCAAAAAAUAUAAAAAUGUUUUAAAAUAAUCCUGAAAUUCUCGUCGGCGUUGGCUUACUGAGCGAUGAAGAGUCGGUUCAACUGAUUCAGUUCAUUCAUUCAAACCAUCGAAGUAGGAUAAGCGGCUUUGGUAAUGAUUCUUUAAAUGAACCGAUUCAGAAUCCUCUUCUUGAAUCGUUUGAGUCGUUCUCACUCGGUCAGGGUUGCACGUGUGGGUUGCUUUUCCUGCACGUGUAAUCAGCACGUGUUCACAGACCGUAAAUCCCGACCCCAUGGUAGACACUCGACAGAAAUUUCAUACUAAAGUAAGUAUUUUAUAUUUUCUGGGUCUAAACAGAGCAGAAGUAUUGCUAAUGUGUUGUACAGAUUCUAUUGGACUGGUGAACUGUGUGGAUUUGAAUAUUUAACCCAGUUUAAUAUGGCCUGCUUUGUUCAGUCAGAGACAAGUAAAUCUCUUCUAAUGUUCAUUUAUUUUCCAUAGAUAAAACAAAUGUUUGCUUACACAUGAAUACGUACUUUAUGCCUUCAGAAUGGUGGAGAUUUGUCUCUUAACUAUUUUAAAUUUGGUUCUCUUCAACAGGUUGUGUUUGAGUUGUGCAGGCUUGUGUCACCUGACUUAAAGAAGGCAUUGUUUGAAGGGCUUGAUCAGCACCUCCCACGGCUCCUGCAGUUGUACAACACCGAGAGGCAGUGAAAUACCCGAAAUCCAACAUGUGAUGACCCGCAUUGAUCAAGAGACAGGAGCCUGUGGUUUCCUACUCUGAACACUGUUCGAGCCAUGUCGACUUCAGGAGGCCCCACUCCACCCUUCACCACCCUGUCAGUCACCCACCCAGCCAAUCACAUCACUCCUGUAGAGCUGCACCGACCAGAGAAACGCAACGCCAUGAACUAGGCCUACUGGAGGCACGGAUGCUGAUCACAGAGGAGAGCCUGAUGACCACGAUCGUCCGCACAUUCGAUGAUCACCUGAGACAUCGAGACCAGAAGGGACAAUUUCAGUUUGAACUCUACAGUGCACAAAAGAUAUGUCCUGAUUAGCCGUUCAACAGAGUGGACCGACAAGCUCAGGGAGAAGUUUCUGGAAGGACUUGAUGCUUUCUUGGAGCCGCUCAAGUCCAUGCAGUGUGUUUACAUGUGGUAUGGACCCAGUAGUACGCGACGUGGACCAAGACAUAGAGAUGGAACCAUUGUGGGUGACAGCCUUCACAUUGCAGAUGAAGCUCACACACAUUAUCUCAGUGAUGCAAGAGUGGUGUGCCAGUGAUAUGAGGACUCGCUCGAGCUUCACAUGGUGCGGCUGGAACUGGAAAAUGUGGAGAAGCAGAUCCGCGGCCUACUCGACAAGCAGGCCCAGCUGCUGGAGCAACAAACUGCGCUGGAAACAUCUUGUGCCUCUGCCCACAUAUCCAAGGUAAGCACACAGCGUGGUAUUUCCACUCCCAGCCCCUCUACGCCGUGUGUUUCUCUGUGCAGGGACCGUGCACCUAGGACUUUCCCAGCCGUGGUCUCCGUCACGCCGGCGCCAACACACCUCGGGCCUUGGGUGAACCAGCGGCGGAAGGCGCGGGCUGGACCCUCUCCACCUCCGGUGUUCGAGAUUCCAACCAGGAACCGCUUCGCCCCUCUCCGCCAGACCAGACCCAACGCUGUGAUCGUCGGGGACUCCAUUGUGCGGAACGUCCGUGUAGCCUCAUCUAAAGGUAAGGUGCGCACACACUGUUUUUCUGGUGCUUGUGUCCUUCAUGUCGCUGCGCAGGUAUCCGGGAUCCUGAAGAAGGACGAGCGCACUGGAGCGGUUGUGCUGCACGCGGGGACGAACGACACCAGGCUGCGGCAGAUGGAGGUUCUGAAGAGGGACUUCUCCAGCCUGAUCGAGACGGUACGAGGCAGAUCACCCACCGCGAAGAUCAUCGUCUCUGGACCUCUUCCCACAUACAGACGUGGAGCAGAAAAGUUCAGUAGACUUCUAGCAUUAAAUGAUUGGUUAGUCUCUUGGUGUAAUGAGCAGAAUCUGGUGUUUGUCAAUAACUGGAAUCUGUUCUGGGAGCGUCCUAGGUUGUUUCGUCCUGAUGGCCUGCACCCCAGCAGCCUUGGAGCGGAACUGCUUUCAGACAACAUUUCCAAGGCGCUACACUCCAAGUGACUGCCUACCGUAAGUACGUCUUCCAAUAAUAACAACAUUCAGUAAAAUCAAUGUUCAACUAAAAAUCCGGCAAAGGUAAUACAUACUAUAGAGACUGUGUCUGUUCCCCGAGCUAUACAAAUAUAUAGAAAAUCUCGGAAAGUCUAUCUUCGUAACCUAAUUAACAUAAAACUAAAUCAUAUUGAAUGCACAGCCAGCACUUUUGAUCUGAGGCUAGGACUAUUAAACAUUAGAUCUCUUGCGUCUAAGGCUCUUAUUGUUAACGACAUCAUUACUGAUCAGGAAUGUAAUUUAAUGUGUUUAACAGAAACUUGGAUUAAACCAAACGAGUACAUAGCAUUAAAUGACGCCAGUCCUCCUGGAUACAGUUAUGUACAUCAGCCUCGUUCAACUGGUAGAGGAGGAGGUGUUGGUCUCAUCCAUAGUAAAAACCUAAGCAUAAAUUUAAUUCUUUUGAAAUUCUUUAUACCAGUAUAACUUAUGUAGCCACAAAAAAUAAGUCAAUUCCUCUAAUUAUUAUUUACAGACCCCCAGGGCCAUAUACUGAAUUUCUUAGUGAAUUUGCAGACUUUGUCUCAAACCUGGUUGUGUCUGUAGAUAAAGCAUUAAUCGUCUGUGAUUUUAAUAUUCACUUUGAUAUCCAGAAGACCCUCUGAGGACAGCGGUUGUGUCCAUCUUAGAUUCAGUAGGGAUUAAUCAGAACGUAAUCGGGCCUACUCAUAAUGGUGGUCACACUCUUGACCUCAUACUAACAUACGGACUAAGUAUAGAAAAUAUUAUCAUUUUUCCGCAGUCUGAAGUUGUCUCAGACCAUUAUCUUAUCUUGUUCAUAAUACGUAUUGAUCAUAAUAUUUCCACCUCGCCUCGCUACCGCAUAAAACGUACCUACACAUCAGCUACUGCACCGAGCUUCAUAAAUAACCUCACAGAAACAUCAAUUAGAUUUGGAUCACCAUCAGAUCACAUAGAACUCGAUCAGGCGACUGAAAGCUCGGAGUCAACACUCCGCUACACGCUAGAUAGAGUGGCUCCACUCAAAAGGAAAAUAAUUAGAGAAAAAAAAUUAGCACCCUGGUAUAAUGAUCAAACGCGAACCUUAAAACAGACAACUCGACAAUUAGAACGUAAAUGGCGUCAAACCAAACUGGUGAUAUUUCAAACAGCAUGGAAGGAGAGCCUACUGAAAUAUAGGAAAUCUCUUGGCGAUGCUAGAAAAAUCUAUUUCUCCACCUUAAUAGGAGACAACAAAAACAAUUCUAGACACAGUAGCAAAAUUAACUAGGAAUAAAACCACUACAGAGAGAAACACUCAAUCAUUACAUAGCAGUGAAGAUUUCAUCAAAUUUUUCAUUGAUAAGGUUGAAAAUAUUAGACGUGAAAUACAGGCCAUUAAAUUAAAACCGGACAGUACUGUAACAAACCCAUUACAUGACAAUGUAGCAAUAUCAGAUCAAUGUUUAGAGUGUUUUGCUCCGCUUAGAGAGACCGAACUAGCUACAUUAAUCUCUUCAGCCAAUUCAUCAACUUGCAUACUAGAUCCCGUACCUACAUGUUUGUUUAAACAGAUUGGUCCAGGAGUAAUUGAACCACUUUUAAAUAUAAUCAAUUCUUCCCUAAGCACUGGCUAUGUACCUAAAUCACUUAAAUUAGCAGUUAUUAAACCCUUGAUUAAAAAACCUGAUCUUGACCCGUCUCAACUGUCCAGCUAUAGACCAAUAUCAAAUAUCCCCUUCAUCUCUAAGAUUUUAGAAAAGGUUGUAGCAAAGCAGUUAUGCUCGUACUUAGAUAGGAAUAACAUUCAUGAAAUGUAUCAGUCAGGAUUUAGACCUCAUCAUAGCACAGAGACAGCGUUAGUUAAAGUAGUAAAUGACCUUCUACUGACCUACGAUCAGGGUUGUGUCUCGCUGCUUGUGUUACUCGACCUUAGUGCAGCUUUUGAUACUAUAGAUCACACUAUUCUCCUUGAUAGAUUAGAAAAUGUUGUUGGUAUUAAGGGAACAGUCCUCUCCUGGCUCAGGUCUUAUCUGACCGAUCGUUAUCAGUUCGUAGAUGUAAAUGGUGAUUUCUCCAUGCGUACUGAGGUUACUUUUGGAGUUCCACAGGGUUCUGUUUUAGGCCCACUGCUCUUUACUUUAUAUAUGCUACCCCUAGGUCAAAUUAUUCGUAAACAUGGAAUUAGCUUCCACUGUUCUGCUGAUGAUACACAGUUAUAUGUUUCAGCGAAGCCAGAGGACAGACAGAAGCUUAGUAAAGUUGAGGAUUGUGUAAAGGACAUUAGACAUUGGAUGUUAAUUAACUUCCUUCUACUUAAUUCUGAUAAAAACAGAAAUACUUUUAUUAGGCCCACGUGUAGCUAGAAGUAUUCUUUCUGAUCACAUGGUUACUCUGGAUGGUCUUUCUGUUUCAUCAUGUGCAGCAGUUAAAGACCUUGGAGUGAUUAUUGACUCCAGCCUAUCAUUUGAUGCUCAUGUAGAUAAUAUUACUAGGAUAGUCUUCUUUCAUCUCAGAAAUAUUUCUAAAAUAAGAAACAUAUUGUCACUACAUGAUGCGGAAAUACUAGUUCAUGCAUUCGUCACCUCUAGAUUAGAUUACUGUAAUGCCUUACUGUCUGGAUGUUCCAGUAGGAAUAUAAAUAAGCUCCAGUUAGUCCAGAAUGCAGCUGCUAGAGUCCUAACUAGAACUAGAUGAUACGACCACAUCACAUCGAUAUUAUCAGUACUGCAUUGGCUCCCAGUGAAAUCUCACACUGAUUAUAAAAUACUAUUAUUAACCUAUAAAGCACUAAGUGGUCUCGUGCCACAGUAUCUAAGCGAUCUUUUGGUUUUCUGUGAUCCGCCACGCCUACUUAGGUCAAAAGAUGCAGGUUAUCUGAUGGUACCUCGAAUAGUGAAGGCUACAGCAGGGGGAAGAGCUUUCUCUUAUAGAGCCCCACAGUUAUGGAACAGUCUUCCUAUUAGUGUUCUGGACUCAGACACAGUCUCAGUGUUUAAGUCUAGGCUUAAAACCUAUUUGUUUACUCAAGCCUACCCUGACUCUAUUAUGCUAAUUCACAGUCCUAAUAAUCUUUUCUCUCCCUCUCUCCUUCUGCCGAGCCACACACGAAUUUAUGGAGAUACUAGAGAUCCUGAUCCUUUCUGCCUCUGGAUGGCGCUCUCAUCUACUGCAAUUCCAGACUGCUGAGAUUACGGCUGCUCCUAAGGCCAAACAGACUUCAUAUAAAUCCAUAAUGAACUUUUUCACCAAAGUGAGCAGUGAGGAACACGGAGGGAGGAUACAUCUUCUGAUCCGCCAUUUGCUGCCGACGAGCUGUACUACAGCACCGUGGAGAGUGACUACGAGGAUGACGUCCACAUGCCUGACCAGCAUGAGGAGGAGCAAAAUGGUGGUGAUGAGCAUGAGGUGCCUUUUAGAAGUCCUUCGAGAAGCCCGUCCCCUUUACCAGGCCUAUCUGCUCUAAGAAUCACACCCUUUCCUGUAAUAAGCCCAUCCCCUUUGAGAAUCACACCCCCUUUUAGAAGCCCAUCCCCUUUUUGAGAUUCUCAUCCCUUUAAGAACAUCUCCUAUAAGAAGACCAACCCCCGUGAGGAGGCAAUCUCCUAUAAGACCAACCCCCGUGAGGAGGCUAUCUCCUAUAAGACCAACCCCCGUGAGGAGGCUAUCUCCUAUAAGAAGACCAACCCCUGUGAGGAGACUAUCUCCUAUAAGACCAACCCCCGUGAGGAGGCUAUCUCCUAUAAGAAGACCAACCCCCGUGAGGAGACUAUCUCCUAUAAGAAGACCAACCCCCGUGAGGAGGCUGUCUCCUAUAAGAAGACCAACCCCCGUGAGGAGGCUAUCUCCUAUAAGACCAACCCCCGUGAGGAGACUAUCUCCUAUAAGACCAACCCCCGUGAGGAGACUAUCUCCUAUAAGAAGACCAACCCCCGUGAGGAGGCUAUCUCCUAUAAGACCAACCCCCGUGAGGAGGCUAUCUCCUAUAAGACCAACCCCCGUGAGGAGGCUAUCUCCUAUAAGAAGACCAUGCACUGCGACAAGCCCACCCACUUCUGUUACUCCUGCAUCCGUUCCUCACGUCAGCAUCAACGUAACUUUGUGGUUAGAUGUAAGUGUUGAUUAGACUUAGAUCUGGGUUAUAAUCUGUAUUAAGACCUGUUAUGUCCCCUCCAUUUUCACUGAGUGGAGCUGAAACCUUUACAAUGCACAUCUGUUACAUUUGAUAUUUUUUUGUUGUUGAUAUAAUAACAAUUUACUUUUUUUUGAAGUACCAUUACUUUGUUCUUUUAUACUGCAUGAGCAAAAAUAAAAAUAACUUAAAUAAAAAUAAUU